GUCUCCCCCUUCACUUUGCCGCUUGGAUGCUUCUUGUCUCCAUUGGCUAUUCAAGUGGGAUAAAGAAUAUCCUUUUAAAACCCAACCAGAUUAUACUUAAUUGACUUGGAUCCUGUCGGAGGAAACAGGA
This is a small nucleolar RNA of Sphaerodactylus townsendi, 130 nucleotides long. RefSeq annotates it as small nucleolar RNA SNORA27. The record is from RefSeq and is a predicted model, not a curated record. NCBI's taxonomy places the organism in Eukaryota, Metazoa, Chordata, Lepidosauria, Squamata, Sphaerodactylidae. The transcript has a single exon.